This 28-nucleotide small RNA is filed under the name Bombyx mori (domestic silkworm). RNAcentral's name for it is "ovarian small RNA-31342". The record is from RNAcentral. Lineage: Eukaryota; Metazoa; Arthropoda; Insecta; Lepidoptera; Bombycidae.
UGACACCGAAGAGACUUCUCAGUAUGCC